GAUGAACGCUAGCGGGAGGCCUAACACAUGCAAGUCGAACGGUAAGGCUCUUUCGGGAGUACACGAGUGGCGGACGGGUGCGUAACGCGUACGGAAUAUACCUUUAACAGGGGGAUACCUUCGGGAAACUGGAAAUAAUACCCCAUAACAUUAUUGAGUCGCAUGGCUUAAUAAUCAAAAACUUAGGUGGUUAAAGAUUAUCGUGCGUCUGAUUAGCUAGUUGGUGAGGUAGAGGCUCACCAAGGCGAUGAUCAGUAGCUGGUCUGAGGAGGAUGAUCACGCCACACGUGGGACUGAGAC
RNAcentral lists this ribosomal RNA (300 nucleotides) under uncultured bacterium. RNAcentral's name for it is "bacterial SSU rRNA". It matches the Rfam family "Bacterial small subunit ribosomal RNA", at positions 28 to 325 of the family's 1533-position model. The record is from RNAcentral.